This 3056-nucleotide long non-coding RNA is filed under the name Canis lupus familiaris (dog). RNAcentral describes it as "lncRNA (ENSCAFG00845016479.1)". Lineage: Eukaryota; Metazoa; Chordata; Mammalia; Carnivora; Canidae. The record is from RNAcentral.
ACACACAGGCAUGCCCAUUCAUUUACAUAUUGUCUGUGGCUGCUUUGCCCUGCAAUGGCAAAGAUUAGUUUCCAGGGAGACCAUUCACCUACAAAGCCUAAAAUAUUUCUUACUUGGCCCUUUACAGAAAAUAUUUGCUGACCCCUACCCUACACCAGGGUCUUCUCCUGAGUAUCUCUCUUAUUACCUGGUGGUUUCUAUUUCUAGGGCAGGAGCUGUUUUAAGUUCCUACCCUGUUUGCACCUGCUGUUCCCUCUGCCUGGAGGGCCCUUCCCUCCUGCCUCUCCAAUCUGCUCAUCAUCUGCACAUGUUCUUGACCUUCUCGACUGGGUUAACUUCUCAUCUUGGCUUCAUAGCCCUUGUCACCUUCUCAAUUUUAUGCUUGUCUGGGCAAGAAUUUGAUUAGCAUCUGUCCUGCCUCUAGACAGUAUGCUCCAUUCUCCGAAGCAACGUAAGGCAGUUUAGAGGGAAACAUAAAAUACUGCAUAAUAAAAAUGCAGGUGUCUGUUUUUGCUCAGGGUGCCCUCAGCUCCUCACCAGGAUCUGGUACCUGGAAGAUGCUCAACAAGUGUAUGUGGGCUGACCGAAUGGAAAGAUUGGAUGUGAAAAAGAAGGAAGAUGAAACAACAGCUCAAAGGGGAUUCAGGGUCAAGAAGAGGGCAGAUGGGGGGUACUGGAGAUGCAGUCUGUAUACACUGCUCAGACCUGGAGGCUAAUGGUGGGAUUUGGAUUUUUGGCUCUGUCACUAACUAGCUGUGUGAUACUGGGCAAAUUAUUUAACCUCUCUGGGCUUCAUAUGUAAGAUGGGGAUCAUAACAGUACUUUCCUCAGAGAUGUUGUGUGAGAUCUAAACAGAUGAAGUGCUUAUCAUAGAGUCUGGUCCAUAGAAAGUGUGCAUUGUUUGUUGUGAAUUGUGUUUCUCAAAAGAUAUGUUCAAGGCCCAACCUCUGGUAGCUGUGAAUAUGACCUUACUUGGAAACAGGACCUCUGCAGAUGUAAUCGAGUUGAGAUCAUACUGGAUUAAGGUGGGUUCCAAUCCAGUGACUGCUGUCCUUAUGAAAAGAAGGAAAUCUGGACAUUGACACACAGGGGAGAGGCCACAUGAAGCCAGAGGUAGAGGCAAAGUGUGGUGUCCAAGGACUGUUGGCAACCAAGCUUGGAGAGGGUCAUGGAACAGCUCCUCCCCUACAGCCUCUAGAGGGAGCACAGCCUUACCGACACAUUGGUUUUGGACCUCUAGCCUCCAGAACGGUGAGGGAAUAAAAGGCUAUUAUCUCAAGCCCCAUAGUUUGUGGUCACUUGUUAUGGCAGCCCCAGGAUACCAGUACAGUGCUCCCUAAUCCUUAGGCCAUCAUUGUUCAAGGGGAGAGCUUAUGGCAAGGGAGAGGAUGGUGGAUAUUGUAGGCGCCACCUGGAUUUUCUUGGGCUUUUAAGUCCAUGCAUGGAUGGCACUUGACUGUGGGCCCCUGUGAUAUCCUGCCUGAGAGCUUCCUUCUCCACCGUUGGGACAAUUAUCCACUGAGGUGUAUAUGGCAAGCCAAAGAGCUGGUGCCCCAGCUGCACCUCAGCCAGUAACGGAUGGGGUUUGGUGGGUGAAUGUCCCGACUUCCUCGCUCCUUGGUUGGCUCUGGGGGACAUGGCUUCCUAGGAUGCCCCAGCUUGGAAAUCCUUUAUGGGCUGGCCUCUGCAUCCUGUCUCAUUUCUCUGCUCCCCAUCCAGUGCUUCCUGGGGGCGCUUUCCAAAUACACCAGUUCCGGUCACCUGCUGGUCUCAGCCUCUGCUUCUAGGGGAGCAUAUGCUGAGAGGGAGUUUGUAGGUGGUAAGUAGAGAAGGCUCAUCUGAUGGAGUAAGGCCCCAGGAAGGGCUGGAGGAGGUUUGGGGUCAAGGGCAGGUGGGCGAGUUGCCUUCCCUUGAGGAAGACAGGGGAUGCUGGAAGUUGGAGAACACAAUGUAAAGAUGGUUGUAGAUGGUAGUAACUUCAGUAAAUGAGAAAACUGAGCUAAGAACCCAUAAGGAAAGAAAUCCAAUGGGAUUGACUUCUUUACCCUCUUCUAAAAAAUUGCUAUCAAAGCAAUGUAUGUGCAUAAUUUUAAAAAAAUCAAAUAGUGUAGAAUAGUGUUCUAGGGGUGAAUGACAGCUCCUUGCCGCAUCCCCCUCACCUCCCUGCUCCUGGCCCUGGAGCCAACCUCGAUUGACCAGUUUUAGAUUUUAGCUCUGGUGGGUACCCCACACCUCCAAAAGACAGGCUGAUAUGGUUGAUUUUAGGUUUACCCACUUCAGGCAUUUCCUGUUUGCUUGUGGCUCUGCAGGAUGGUAGAGUGUGGGCAGAAUUACAAGAUGGCCCCAGGAUUCCAGCCCCUGGGUACACACACCUUCUCCCAGUCAUUCAAUUUAACACUAUUCUGUGGUGGGGGGGUGGAGGUAUGAGGGAGUGGAGCUGAUAUAAUUAAGGUUUAUAUAUAAUAAAUAAAUAAUUUGACCUCAAGAUGGGGAGAUAUCUGGGGGGUGGGGUUCUGACCUAAACACAGGAGCCCUUUAUAUCUGGGUCUGGGGGUCAGAGACAGGAAGUCAGAGAUUCAAGGGACAAGGGAGAUUUGAUGUUUGAGAAAUAUUCCACUGCUGGCUUGAAGAUAGGGCCACAUGGCAAGGAAACCCAGGUGGCCUCUGGGACCUAAAGCUAGUCUUCAGCUGGCAGCCACAUAAGGACCUCAGUCCUACAACCUCAAGGGACUGAAUUCUGACAUAGCCGUGUGACCUCAGUAGAGGUCCCUAAGCUCAGAUGACAGCGUGGUUUUCAUUUCAGCUUGGUGAGAUGCCAAGCACAGAACCCAGUGACACUGUGCCCAGACUCUGACCUGCAGAGCUUUGAGCUAAUAAACAUUGUCAUAAGCCACUAAGUUGUGGUAAAGUUUUACACAGCAUAGAUAGCGAGUACAGCCAGUGUGAGGUGGCGUGAGGAUUGAAGCUAUGUCGCACCACUCGUCACCAUCCUGUGCCUUCUGUCAACUUGCCUUCACUGCCUUAGACUCUCCACUGACCACCUGAGCAACUCCAAA